GAUGAACGCUAGCUACAGGCUUAACACAUGCAAGUCGAGGGGAAACGACAUCGAAAGCUUGCUUUUGAUGGGCGUCGACCGGCGCACGGGUGAGUAACGCGUAUCCAACCUGCCCACCACUUGGGGAUAACCUUGCGAAAGUAAGACUAAUACCCAAUGACGUCUCUAGAAGACAUCUGAAAGAGAUUAAAGAUUUAUCGGUGAUGGAUGGGGAUGCGUCUGAUUAGCUUGUUGGCGGGGUAACGGCCCACCAAGGCGACGAUCAGUAGGGGUUCUGAGAGGAAGGUCCCCCACAUUGGAACUGAGACACGGUCCAAACUCCUACGGGAGGCAGCAGUGAGGAAUAGUGGUCAAUGGACGAGAGUCUGAACCAGCCAAGUAGCGUGCAGGAUGACGGCCCUAUGGGUUGUAAACUGCUUUUAUAAGGGAAUAAAGUGAGUCUCGUGAGACUUUUUGCAUGUACCUUAUGAAUAAGGACCGGCUAAUUCCGUG
RNAcentral lists this ribosomal RNA (492 nucleotides) under uncultured bacterium. Its description in RNAcentral is "partial 16S ribosomal RNA". It matches the Rfam family "Bacterial small subunit ribosomal RNA", at positions 28 to 507 of the family's 1533-position model. The record is from RNAcentral.